CCUAGAGUUGUAGGCUUUGCCUGCUAUCUCUUACCCAUGUCUUUUGAGUACCUUCGUUUCCUCGGCGGGUCCGCCCGCCGAUUGGACAAUUUAAACCAUUUGCAUGUUGCAAUCAGCGUCUGAAAAAACUUAAUAGUUA
Molecule: unclassified non-coding RNA, 139 nt
Filed under: soil metagenome
Description: partial internal transcribed spacer 1
Source: RNAcentral